Molecule: long non-coding RNA, 1253 nt
Organism: Sarcophilus harrisii (Tasmanian devil)
Lineage: Eukaryota; Metazoa; Chordata; Mammalia; Dasyuromorphia; Dasyuridae
Exons: 3
Source: RefSeq, a predicted model, not a curated record
UUUAGAGAAUCACAACCCGCUGGUAACUAAGACAGCGCGGCGCUUGGAAACCGCGACGCCUUCCCUCCUUCCCACCAAGCGACUCCUUUGUGGUUCAAGAGAUUCUGGGAAGUGUAGUUCGCAAGGGCCGAACUUACCCAGAUUCUUUAGAGGAACUGUGUGGAGAAGGCCCAUAAAUCCCAGGAUUCUCAUCUACCCGAGUGGCGUAGUGCGAGAGCGCUUUUAAAGCUAAAGCACUUCCAUAUGUCUCCAGAAUGUUUGCCACUCCAACCUCAUUACAGAGCUCUUCAUUUGUCAUGCAAUUAUAGAAGAAAAUUCUACAUAUUUCCAUCUUUUUGUUGGAUGAUUACAAGCUUCCAUGUUUCAGCAGGAUAUUAUCAAAGAUUACUUAAUUGUUUUGAGCAGAGGGGAUAGCUCUCAUGGUCUUAAAGAAGGAAAUCGCUGAUAUCAAUGAUCCCUUCUGCCCCAGUCUUAUUGCUCCAAAGGAUGCCUAUCAACUCUCCUUUUCCCUCAACACCCUCAAAAUUCCCGUACAUGUGAAAAAAAUCCUUGCCCUCCAGGCCUCGUCUUGUAAUAACUUCUUCUCUUCCCAAGCUGAAUCUUCAUGGACAGCUAAAGUUUUCCAAUGGUUGUUACAUAAUGAAGCUAGAUAAAUAUGCCAUGAACCUGAUUCAUCAGUACAUAAAUUUUGGACAGAUAUUGCAAAUGGAUGGUAAAACUGGCACAGAGUUAAAUAGGAUGAAGAAAGCAGAAGGAAUUACCUAUGAGGAUUUGUGGUCUUUCAAUGUUUCUCCCUGAGAUAAAUAACAACAAUAAAAAUCCAUCUUUUUGACAUUAAUUUUCUUGUUGUAUUGAUACCUGGCAUUCAAAUCAAGGAAUAUUAUAAUCUAUCUGAUAAAUCAAAAACCAGGUUGCCUAAGAAGCAUGGAUAGCAUGUGAACAUGUAGCAGUAUACUACCCAUAACAAACUGAAUGCAAAAAGUGAAAGAAAAAAUAUUAUACAAGAGAUAUAUGAUGGAAAAAGCAGAUAGCACAAAGUAAGGGAUAAUGGAUAGAAAACCCAUGUAUUAUAAUGAUGAACAGACCAAGAGGAAGGCAUUUAGUACAUUAGGUGGAUUCCCCAACAGAGUAUAUACAGGAUAACAUCAGCAAGAAUUGCAAAAAUAAAAAGGCAUGAAAUUAAGACAGCUUUAAGGUACCACUAUGUUGGCUCUCAGAUUGGCUGACAGGAAAAGAUAAUGAUGAAUGUUGCA